UGAGGAACAUGACCUUCGGCGGGGGAGUAGCCGGCCCAACGGCCGGGUAAUACCGCGUACGACCACAUGGGGACAUCCCUGAGUGGUGAAAGCAGCAAUGCGCCGAUGGAGUGCCUCGCGGCCUAUCAGCUAGUUGGUGAGGUAACGGCUCACCAAGGCAACGGACGGGUAGCUGGUCUGAGAGGAUGGCCAGCCACAGUUGGGACUGAGACACGGUCCAGACCUGUACCGGGAG
RNAcentral lists this ribosomal RNA (235 nucleotides) under uncultured bacterium. Its description in RNAcentral is "partial 16S ribosomal RNA". It matches the Rfam family "Bacterial small subunit ribosomal RNA", at positions 118 to 347 of the family's 1533-position model. The record is from RNAcentral.